CUUGUAAAUGAACAACUCAAAUGGGACUUUCAAAUUUGGCAUAUUGACUUUUGAAGCAAAACAAGCUUAUUAUUUGAAUUUCCCAAAGUAUAGUUAAAAGCUCUAGAGUCACAAUUCCAGCUUUGCUUCUGCCCAGCUCAGUGACCUCAGGUAAGUCAAUUAUUUAUUCAAUACCUUAGUUUCCUCAUCUAUCAAGCUGGUUGAAAAUUAACCUGCUCUACUUAAUGCAUGAAGUUGGUGUAAGAAUUAAAUGAGAUAUGUACAGAAAAUAUUUUUUAAAAGACUGAAGUACUAUCAAAAGCAAAUGUUAUUGUUGACUUUAGCCAGAAACACAAAGUAUCCUGUAUCUUGCAACAGGAACACAUUCUUGGCUCUGAUCUUUAUUCACACCAUCAAAAAAUGUCACUUAGCCUGCUUAUCUCCCUGUUGAACUCAUUAGCUGAAUUAUUAAUAGUUCCUCUGAAAUUCAGGUAGUAACUUCUAUUUUAUUUUGCAUUUUUACAGAACCUACCUAUAAGACUGAAAAUGCUAAUUUUAAACAAUAAACAAUAAGCAAAUCAGGCCACUUAAACACAGAACAUAUUGCUUCCCACACUCUGUAUUAGGGGCUGCAAAUAUCAAGGAGACUGUGGUGAACUGAGAAGCGUAAGUCUAGUGUAAAGGGGGCAAAUUCCGAGUCACCUUUAGUCAAUUGCUAUCAUUAAAAAAUUUAGGUCACCAUAGCCAGAUAUUUUGAUUUUUAUGAUUACAAUUUAGACUUUUAUGUAAAAUAUCUUGAUUUUUAAAUGUAGGGAACUGUUUCAAUCAGGAAAAUCUAGAUUACGCUGUAGGGGCAAAUCUUAGUGGUUUUAAACCACAAAGGUUUAUUUUUCAUUAAUGCCAAGUGCCAACUAAAGGCUAACAGAGAGGUUCUGCUGAUUAGUCUCUCAAGGCUCUAGGCUGACUGUACAGUCAGUAUUCAGUGUUGCUGGCCACCACAACACAAGGAGAAGAGAGAGGUCAGGAAGGUCUUGCUAUAGCAAUUAACUGCUGACCCAGUAGUGACAUAACACUUCUGCUCACAAUGCAAUGGCUAACCUAGUACAUGGACCUACCCCCAAACAAAGGCAACAGGUAUAGCUGGCUUAGCAAAUAACACAAUGAUUAUCACCAUUAUUAACUAAAAGAAAUGUAAAGAUUGGAUAAAAGAAAGAGAGACAAAGAAGAAAGAAAGGAAUGAAAGAGGGAGGGAGGGAAGAAGGGAAAGAAAGGAAGGCAGGCAGGAAGAAAGGAGGGAAAAAAGAAAGAAGGGGAAAGAAAGGAGGCAAAGCUGAAAAGCCACAUACAUUUUUGGGUUAAAUUAAGCUAAUGGGCUACCAGUUUGUGAUAUAUACUCCAUAUCCUUUAUUUAAGCCCUGCUCCCUCCACCUCAGAAAACUAUCAUUUGAAUCAUAUGUUGAUUAUUCUCUUCCUUCUCUAAUAGUCAUAUUGCAUCUACAAAUAUUUCUAAAAAGUAUUUACUUAGUUGUUUGACUUUAUAAAAAGGGUUUUGUGCUGUACAUCUGUUUUACUUAAUAUUACACUGUCAAUAGUCAUUCAUAUUGUCUAUGUUUCAGCAGUCAUUCAUUUUGUUGUAUAACAUUUCAUUGUGUGAAUAAACCAGAGUCUAUUGAUCUUCUUCCACUGAUAGACAUUUAGGUUGGUUACAGGUUUUUGCUUUUGUAAAUUUCAAUAAUGUGUCUCUUAUUUUACAUGUACAAGAAUUUGCUUUGGAUAUUAUCUAAGAACUACUGAGUCACAAAAUAUAACUUUAGAAGAAAUGUGAAAAUGCUUUCCAAAGUGUGCUCCCUCUAGUAAUGUAUAAGAUCCUGUGGAUGCACUUUCUCUUCAAUACACGAUACUGUCAGAUGUUUUAAUUUUUGUCAAUCAAAUGGGUGUAAAAUAGUACCUCACUGUAUUCUUGAUUUGUAAUUCUCUGCUCCUUGGUGGUGAUGAGCAUCUCUUCAUAUUUCCUUUUCUAGGAAAUAUCUAUUCAUGUCUUUUGUUGACUUUUCUUUUGUCUUGUAUUUUUUAUAUAUCAGCAGAAAACAAUUAGAAAAUACAAUUAAAGAGAAUAUAUUUCAAUACCAGAAAUUAUUACUUAUCUAGGAACAAAUCUAACAAAAAGAUGUUUAGUACCUCUAUAGGGAAAACUCUAAAAUUUUAUUGAGAAUUUAAACAAGUACUAAAUAAACGGAGACAUAUACCACGUUAGUGGCAAUGUUAAUAAUAUGAAGAUGAAAUUGAUCUAAAGAUUCAAUGCAAUUACAAUCAAAAUUCCUAAUGGGUUUUCCAUUAAAUUUGGUAAAAUUAUUAAAAUUUUUAUAUGAAAAGAUAGAAGGUCAAGAAUACUGGCUGGGUGCAGUGGCUCACACCUGUAACUACUAUACUAAGUAUAGUAAGAAACUAAUUUCUUAAGACAUGGAAAUGUUGGCUAUUAAAAAAAGGUUGACAUAUUUGAAUACAUUAAAAUUAAGGCCUGGAGUGGUGGCUCAUGCCUGUAAUCUCAGCACUUUGGGAGGCUGAGGAAGAAUUUCUUGAACCCAGGAGUUUGAGACCAACCUAGGCAAAAUAGCAAGAUCCUAUCCCUACAGAAAAAAAAAGAAGAAAGAAAGGAAGAAAACUAGCAUGGUGUAAUGGCACACAGCUGUAAUCCCAGCUACUUGGAAGUCUGAGGCAGGAGGAUCGCUUGAGCCCAGGAGUUCAAGGUUAUAGUGAACUAUGAUCGUGCUACUGCACUUCAGCCUGGGCAACAGAGUGAAAGCCAGUCUCAAAAAAUAAAAUACUUUGUUCAUCAAAAAGAUAAAAGUGAAAAGAUAACUUAAAAACUGGGAGAAGAUAUUCAUAAUGUAACUGGCAAAGAAUCAGUAUGAAGAAUAACUCUUCUGAAUAAAUAAUUUAACUAAAAAUUGACAGCAUGUGGCUGUACUGUUUUCUUCCAAUUUUUCAUUAUGAAAUAGACCAUACAUCAAAUAUAUGCAUGUGUUACACUCAUAAACACACACACUCAGUCUUCCAACCUAUAUGAUUAAAAAGAAAGUUUAAGAAAUAAAAUAUGACAGUAGUAGAAGUAACUACUCUUUAAGGAUAGACAUAAUCCUCCUUUUAGAAGAGAGAAUUUAUUUCCUGUCUCCCAAGUUAUAUGACUUGCUUUUGGUAAAUAAAAGUAGGAGUGUCACAUGUCAUUUACUGGUGAAAGGAUUUAAUUGCCAAUGUUCAAUUUUCAAUCUUCUUUUCUUCCUACUAUGGUAAACUCCUACAAGACAGCACCAAAAAACGGAGUGACUGUGCAACACAGUCACCUGCCAAACCCACAUUAAACAUGAAACGAGUGAAAACCAAAUCUUUAUUUUAAACAAUUGACUUAUUAGGGCUAUUUGUUACUUUAGCUUAACUUGUCUUAACCUGAUUUCAUAAAUACCAAUACCUCUGAAAUUCCCUCUCCCUGAUCACAUUCCCACGCCUCCCCACUAUAUACAAUCAUACGUCACUUAACAAAGGGAUACAUUCUAAGAAAUGUGUUGUAAGGCAAUUUUGUCCUUGCGCAAACAUCAGAGAGUGUAUUUACACAAACCUAGAUGGUACAGCCUACUAUAUACUUAGGCUAUAUGGUACAGCCUUUUGCUCCUAAGCUCCAAACCUGUACAGUAUGUCACUAUACUGAAGACUGUAGGCAACUGUAACAACGGUAUUUGUGUAUCUAAACAUAGAAAAAGCAUAGUAAAAACAGGGUAUUAUAAUAUUACCAGACCAUCACCAUAUAUGUGGUCCGCUGCUAACUGAAAUACUGUUAUUGAGUGCGUGACUGUAUAUAUUAUAUAUACAGCUAGCUGAUCCUUGGUAUAUGAGGAUAAUUGGUUCCAGGAUCCCCAUGUAUACCAAAAUCUGUGCAUACUCAAGUCCCACAGUUGGCGCUGUGAAGACCACAUACACCAAAAGUUGGCCCUCCAUAUACUCAGGUUUUGCAUCCCCCAAAUACUGUAUUUUUUAAAUGCACAUUUGUGUAUAAGUGAACCAUCACAGUUCAAACUUGUGUUGUUCAAGGGCCAAGUGUAACUACAUAUACUGUAUUAACAAACAUUUUAAUGCAUGUGGCUACAGUUAAUACUAAUAUAUUCCCACCAGCUGUACAGUAGCCCGCUAGAUGAGUAUACCACAAUUUAUUUAUCCAUUCCCUUGUUAAUGGACACUUUGGUUGUUUCCAACUUCUUAAUAUUAUAAACAAGACUAUUAACAACUUUCUUGACUAUGUUCCUCAAUGCCCAUACAGGGGUCUCCAGAGUACUACUGUCCUUAUUUUUCCUGGCAACCAACUCCAUCUUCCUAAAUUAUUCAAUAAAUUUUUAAAGAUAGAGAACAGCUAGAAAUGGCUUUAAAAUUAAAGGGCCAAAUCCUCUAAUUUUACAAAUAAGGAAUCCAAGGAGAAAAGAUUUAGAGGAAGAGCUGGAAGUUCUAUAUGCCAAUCACUGUGUUUAGCUACGGGUAUACAAGGAGGUUAAGAUAUUUUCCGUCCUCGAGGUGGUCACGGACUAGCGAUUUGGUUUCCACACUACAGUGGGCCUUGAAGUUCAGGUCCUCACCAUCCUCUAUCUACCCCCGGUUGCAAAGAUAUUUCAAAAUAUACUUCUACAUAAUGAAUAUGUUGUUUAAUUUAGAUUUUUAUAUUAAGUCAUCUUUACCCUGGAAAAUGCGCCUCUGCUAACACACAAACUUUGUGAAAUCUUCCCAAGCUCCAUCCAAUCCCCGGCAGAGUGAGGUUCCUCUUGUCUCUGAAGCAAGUUCUUGCAAUAUCUACUAUCACAUAACUUUGUGGUUUGUCUCCUCAUGAGUCUACUGGAGUCAGACCAGAGGCCAGGGCACUUGUACCCUGUAUAUCAAAGUAUGUGAAUGGAUGUUGAAAACACAAAGCAAAAGAAUUUGAGUAUAUCAAGCAACACAGAGUCAGUUAACUACAUAGCUUAGCCUAACCUUUAUGAUAGAGUUUUUAAAGUCCCCUGGACCAGUCAAAAUGUCCCCAGUCGAUAUAAUCUACAUUGGCCCUAUCUUACUAAUUUACUUCUUUUCCCACUUGUCUGCCCUAGAUUAUUCUCAUAUUUAUGCUAAAAAUGCACAAGCUACCAGAGCAACAUCCAAUUUCCCCACAAACGCUAACAAAAGGUUUACUUCAUUUGCUACCAAAAUAAAGUAUUUGAAUUAAGGUACCAAGAGUGAUGUACACUUCUUACAGAAAUUGUGUGUACUACCACGAUAACCAUACAGAUCACUGCGAAAUUUCAACCACAAGCAAAGUGCAAUUAAUAUUACUAAGUUUUCCACCAACAAUCAGCAAACUUAAUUCCUUCCACAACAACAAAAAAAUUGUACAAGCCCAUUCAAUGAUUACUCUAUAAAGCCAGAGAGAGAAGCACAAGGUUAGCUUACUCCAAAGUCAGUAAGACUGUAUGUAUAUAAACAUAUAAAGUCUUCACAUCUACCCUCUCAAAGACCCUUUUGGUUUGCUGAUUCUCAAAAAUUGGGAAGUACUGCAAAAAUCAUCUGGCAACCAGAAGUGAAUGCAACACUCCAGAUGAAUUGUGAAAAGUACCGAAUUUUUGCCUUUAUUCAGACGCCUGUGCUCCUUUUUUCCAACCAUCUGCUUCUAUAAAUUCAUCACAAUUCUAAUACGGUGUGCGCCCCUCCUCCUUCCCUUACCCUGACCCUAACCUUCCAACCGUUGAUUCCUGCAGCAAUCUUCCCUAAGGGAGACACCCCGGCUGUAGGCUCACUUCCUCUCCCAAGUCCCAUUCCUUUCACAAGAGUCAAAUCCCUACAGUGGAUUCCUGGACCGUUUUUUCUAAAAGAAGAUCCCAGUCCUCUGGCUUGCCCCUCCCGUCGUGACUCCCAGUAAGUCCUCCUCUGAAACCCCCUAAUCCAGUCCACGUACUUACAGCGCCUUCCGCUAACACAAACGUAGCCGCUUCCACGCCCCCUUUCCCCGCCAAAGCUGCAUCCCCGCCUCUUCCCCUUAAGACCCAAGAAUUAAACCACUGUAAACCCAUCUUGUAACCUUUAGUCUGCUUUAGUCUCCUCAGUUCCUCCUCAGAGAAUCCUGCCCAACCUUGCGCCAUCGGCCCG
RNAcentral lists this long non-coding RNA (6132 nucleotides) under Homo sapiens (human). RNAcentral describes it as "non-protein coding lnc-KIFAP3-2:9". Lineage: Eukaryota; Metazoa; Chordata; Mammalia; Primates; Hominidae. The record is from RNAcentral.